Gallus gallus (chicken) is the source of this 1947-nucleotide long non-coding RNA. RefSeq lists it as uncharacterized. The transcript is spliced from 2 exons. The record is from RefSeq and is a predicted model, not a curated record. NCBI's taxonomy places the organism in Eukaryota, Metazoa, Chordata, Aves, Galliformes, Phasianidae.
CUCAUUUAAGGGCUGGCAGUGGAGGUAAGAGGAUCUCCCUGGAGGCCUUCUAAAGAACCACUGGAGCACCCCCAUUUGACACACAUCAGGUUACAGUGGAAACAUCGUUAAAGAGCAAGCCUGGAACCAUACUCACUGCAUGAAUUUACAGGUAGGCCCUUCCGGACAGAAUCCUACUAGGUAAUUCACACAAAUGACUCUUCGAGUGUGCCGGUGUCUGCAGAGUGGACCUGCAACACAAAGCUCAAUGGUUCAUGUACCAUAUAUGCACACUGCAGCAUUAAAUAGCAGCAGGUACACAAAGCAGAUCAUGCAAGGAAAUACAAGCAACACCCUACCCUUCAUUUAAAGCCACAGAAGCAGCAACUACACAGCAUACAUACCGUGUUUACAGAAGCCUCUGUCAUACCAGGGACAGUCUUUGAUCUUAGAUUCCGGGUCAAUGUGCAAGAACGGACAUUCUUUGUUACUGCAUUCCCCUGUACCAAAGGCAAAUGCACUUCUUAGUUAAUGAUGCAGGUUUAAGAUCAAAUAACUCCUAAAAUGUUACCUGGAUCAUGUAGUUCCCACAAAGCUGUGACCAGCAUUCAUAAUAUCAGGCACAACAGUCUUAUUGCCUGACUUAACCUAGAGGAUGAACACCAAGCACUCACCCCUAGUGAGUGAAGUUCUACCAGACUAGAUUAUUUAUGGGUGCUUUUAAAAACAAUGCAGAAGCUGAUUUUGAAAGAGAUUCAUGAUAACAAAAACCAAACAUUUAGUGCACCAAAAGUGUGGAGAAACUACAAAUUGCGCACUAACCUCAAUCCAAGGAAACCUACAAGACUGUAAGUUUCUGACAGCAAGUUGCCUCAUUAUGUCCAGAUCUCCAGAGCUGGAAAGCAAGUGCAUAAAAGUUUUGCACCCCCAUGCCCUCUGCUGCUCAUCAACUCCCCAAAACAAGAGUCAUGCAAAGACCACCUGCUUAGCCUAUUCAACUCAUACUAAAGAGAGAACACAAAGUACAAAACCCAGUAACAAUGUGAACUUCCUCCCUCUUCCCCAAAGUGACAAGCUCUUCAGAGAGAAGACAUCUACAACACACAGCAGACUGAGGGGAAUAAAAAGAUAGAAGAGCUAAGCAGACCUGAAAAACUACAACCGAACAGUGUCAGCAGACAUGGAAGAACUGAAAUAUUCUGAAGAUGAAACAAGAUGGAUGUACCAGGAUCUUCUUCACCAGACUCCCACACUUGCAAGGAACACUAAGUAGGAGCUAUAACGCUUCUUACCAAAUUUGGAGUAGAAGUAACACUCAGGCAUCUUGGUCAUGUCAUACUCGUGCAGAAACUCGCACUGGUCUCCCUUUUUGCAUAGUCCUCGUAGCCAGUGUUUGCAAACAACAGUCUUUUCCCCACUGAUGUGUCUGAAUGGGCACAUACCUCCUACACGAGGAUGGGACAAGGAAAACGAAAGAGAAGAAUGAUUAAAAUCUGCAGCACAAGCAGGAACACAGCAACAACAGUGCUUCACUUGCCUCUACAAGAGGGGUUUUGGAAGAAUUCAGUUUUUCCUCUGACUUUGGUUUUUAAUGGCAAUGACAAACAAGGAGAUCCAGGGAAGUCCCAUUUUACCUUCUAACAAGCUGAGCACUGUAGUCUCCAGCUCUUAAUCUGAGCAACCACAACCCACAGAUACAACAGCAGUUAUAUCCACAGCAAACCCUGCACAAUUUGUGGAGCUAACCCAAUAUCCUUCAUUUUUAUCCUCUCUCUCAGCCCUCAUCUUAACAAAACCCACGAUUAUCAUACACAGUGCUAGCAAAUCUGACUCUCCUCCCUGCUAUAUGAGUGUAAGUGUACUGGAAAUACAACUUGCCUUUCCCACAUGCCGCUUUUAAAAAAAAUUCACAGACAGCUGCCCCUGAUUCUGUGGAGAGAAGAAACAUAAUAAACGUUAACAACCUUU